UAACUAAAGGUGUUCUCAACUAGCCUACCUGGUGAAAUAAAGGUGUUCUCAACUGGCCUACCUGGUGAAAUAAAGGUGUUCUCAACUACCCUACCUGGUUAAAUAAAGGUGUUCUCAACUAGCCUACCUGGUUAAAUAAAGGUGUUCUCAACUGGCCUACCUGGUUAAAUAAAGGUGUUCUCAACUAGCCUACCUGGUUAAAUAAAGGUGUUCUCAACUGGCCUACCUGGUUAAAUAAAGGUGUUCUCAACUAGCCUACCUGGUUAAAUAAAGGUGUUCUCAACUAGCCUACCUGGUGAAAUAAAGGUGUUCUCAACUAGCCUACCUGGUGAAAUAAAGGUGUUCUCAACUAGCCUACCUGGUGAAAUAAAGGUGUUCUCAACUAGCCUACCUGGUGAAAUAAAGGUGUUCUCAACUAGCCUACCUGGUGAAAUAAAGGUGUUCUCAACUAGCCUACCUGGUUAACUAAAGGUGUUCUCAACUAGCCUACCUGGUUAAAUAAAGGUGUUCUCAACUAGCCUACCUGGUUAAAUAAAGGUGUUCUCAACUAGCCUACCUGGUUAAAUAAAGGUGUUCUCAACUAGCCUACCUGGUGAAAUAAAGGUGUUCUCAACUAGCCU
Long non-coding RNA from Oncorhynchus keta (chum salmon), 620 nucleotides. RefSeq lists it as uncharacterized. The transcript is spliced from 3 exons. The record is from RefSeq and is a predicted model, not a curated record. NCBI's taxonomy places the organism in Eukaryota, Metazoa, Chordata, Actinopteri, Salmoniformes, Salmonidae.